Molecule: long non-coding RNA, 1512 nt
Organism: Haemorhous mexicanus (house finch)
Lineage: Eukaryota; Metazoa; Chordata; Aves; Passeriformes; Fringillidae
Exons: 2
Source: RefSeq, a predicted model, not a curated record
AAUGAAUUCCUCAUGGAAGGCGCUUUAUGGAGAACUCCCUUAUAUCUUCACAAGUCCUGGAGAAACAGCAGUGGAUUCCCCUGCCUUACUUCACCCCUAGGCUGGCCCCCUGCAUGUGUCUCUCACAUAAGGAGCUCUGUUUGAUUGCUCUCCUUCUUUUCUGUUGAGAACAUCCAAGUUUCCUGUACAAACUUCUGCAGACCACAGGUGUGGAUGUCCCUUCUGAAAUGGCUCUUUCUGCUUUAUUCACACCAGAAGGCAACUGGAACUCACAUGUGAUUCUCCAUCCUCCUAGCACUUCAUAGAGACAUCUGACCAGAGACUGCUGAUGCACAGGCAGCUGGAAUAUGUGCUGUCUUAUACAGAGAAGGAGUGUGGGAAUAAGUAAACAGAAGGGCCAGAAAUCCUCACUCUAGGGAGCUGUGGAACUGAUACUGGAAGACUGUCAAGUCAGAAUAUCCCUAGAAUUGUAGGACAUGGGUUCAAGCCAUACAUAAAUCCAAAUUUCAGAGGCUUGAGCUGAGGUAAAACUCUGGAUUACAUGAAAUUUGUAAGAAAAGUACAGGAAAUCUGCAGUGAUUUCAUGUAUUUAAAACCUGUUCUCAAUCAAAUUAAGACAAAUAAGUUUCAACAGAAAACAAACAAACAAACAAAAAACCAACCAAAAGACAAACCAAAAGAACCUGGAAGGGAUUCCCAGAAUUCUGAAUUAAGAAAUUUUCAAAAAUUUAAGUUUAAUAUAUUACUUUACUUGAAAACUGUUUCACGGUGAGGCAGGAUCUGAAUCUAAUUUUCACAGCCCUACAAAAUUAUUCUACAUAUAGAAGCUUAUCAAAUACAUAAUUACCUUAUUCUAGUUUGUAUUCUAGAACAAACAUGUCUGCAUGAGACAUUUAUUCAGUAAGCAUGCUACUUUUAUUCUUGAAUAAUUCCAUGUGCAGUCAAGCUCUCAGUCAAAUCACCACAACUCUGUAUGUAGAUGAAUUGUCAGUCUCUCUCUGCUUGCAUUUACAGGAAAUCUGUAUCUCUGUUACUAAAUGCAGCUGACAGAUCUGAAAAUGUCACAUUUGUUUGCGGAGUAGGCAUCUUACAAGCUCUGGCCCCUAUUAGCCUACUACUCGUGUCCUUUGCAGGUGUUAUAACUGCAUAUCCUUCAUAUUUUGUGGUAAAUGUUGUUAGCAAACUAAUAAACGCUAUGGAGCGAGGAAAAGUUUUUUCCCUCCCUUGUUUGCCAAAAAGCAACAGGGUUUUUUUUGCCACAAAGAAGUUUUUGAGUAUGACAUUAAAUUUAUAUAUAUAAGUCCAGGAGAAGAAAACUUAAUUGCUUUUCUUUGGGAAGGGGGAGGAAAUAAAUCUUUGUUCUAGUUCAGUAAAAAAUCCCUCCUUAUUAGACCUUUUAACCAUAAAGACUUCUUUCUUCAUGCUGUUUGUGUUUGUCACCUAUGCUUGCCUAAUUCUGUCAUGAGUACUGUCUCAAAGCUUUAAUAAAACAUUAAUGUCCAAGCCCCAAAA